Raphanus sativus (radish) is the source of this 2325-nucleotide RNA transcript. RefSeq lists it as uncharacterized. The record is from RefSeq and is a predicted model, not a curated record. Lineage: Eukaryota; Viridiplantae; Streptophyta; Magnoliopsida; Brassicales; Brassicaceae. The transcript has 2 exons.
ACGUCUAUCGAAGCUUUUGUUAUAUUAAAGACAUAGACGGGACAAAAGAUAGAGCCAAACAAGACACUAGCGUCUCUGUUUCAUUGCUGCUUCCCUCUAUUACUGUCACAAAGGAAAAACCAAGGAGAGAAAGCCCAAUUGAGAGACAUGCAUGCAAAGACGGACUCGGAGGCCACUAGCAUUGACGCGGCUUUGUCAUGGCCGCCGCGCUCUCCGCCACGUUCGGCGACUAGACCUCUUUACUAUGUUCAGAGUCCCUCCAACCACGACGUCGAGAAGAUGUCAUUUGGGUCGGGUUGCAGCCCGAUGGGUUCUCCGUCACACCCACAUUACUACCACUGCUCACCCAUCCAUCACUCCCGUGAAUCCUCCACCUCUCGCUUCUCCGACCGUGCACUUUUCUCAUACAAGUCAAUCCGCGAAGCAAGCGGACGCCGCCGUUACAUCAACAGCGCCAUCGACGAAGAAAUGACGGCGGAGGAUGGACGCCCUUUCGAAACGUGCGUCUCUAUGGCUGCUUUGCUACUCUCCUUGUUCCUCUUGUUCACAGUCUUCUCUCUCAUACUGUGGGGUGCUAGCAAAAUCCUACCCUCCUAAAGUUGUGGUAAAGGGGAUGCUGGUGAGGAACUUUAACGUGCAGGCUGGGAACGAUCCUAGCGGAGUGCCCACUGACAUGCUGUCUCUUAAUUCGACGGUCAGGAUCUUCUACCGGAACCCCUCCACGUUCUUCGCCGUCCAUGUCACUGCUUCCCCUUUUCUCCUCCACUACUCCAACCUCCUCCUCUCCUCCGGUGAGAUGGAGAAGUUCACGGUAGGUAGGAAAAGCCGAAGGAAUAUAGCCACGGUGGUGCACGGCCAUCAGAUUCCCCUAUACGGCAGUGUAUCUCCCCAUCUCGACACACUGUCCCUGCCCCUCAAUCUCACUCUUGUCCUCCGUUCCAGGGCUUACAUUUUAGGCAGACUCGUUACCUCCAACUUCCAUACAAGGAUCAUUUGCUCCUUCACUCUUAAUGCCAACCGCCUUCCCAAACCCAUGUCUCUUAUCCACUCAUGUACUCAUCACCACUGACCCACAUUGCACACCUUUGUGUGUUCUUUGGAUAUAUAUUUUUUUAUAUUUUGCAAUCAAUCAACAAAUUCUUCCUUGGUACAACUCAUCACAUAUUGGUAAAUGCAGAAAAGGUUUCAGUUCCACCGAGUUUAUUAACAUUCAAGAGUGAAGAACAAUGGGCCAAGAUUCUACUUUAAAAAAAAAUCAAUGCCUAAAAUCAAACAUUAUCGGUAACUAUGUACAAAUAUACUAUGAGUAGCCUUGGAAGUUGGAAUGAAGAGAACCUCCUGCAAUCAUCAUGAGAGUGGUUUUGUCUAACAAUAUAGUUUCAGCUACAGGGUGAUCCAUACUUGUUAUUGUGUUUGUAUCCAUUAUUCUACAUAUGGAACGGGAAAUUUUGAAAUUUAUGAAACGUAUUGUUGUGUGAUACUGUUAUCUUGCACAUAAGGAAAUUUUAAUUCGUUUUAGGCAGUCAUCCCGAUUUCUUUCGUUGAUAACCCUAUCUGAAGUUGUCUUUCAACACAAAAUUUAAAUCUAUGUUUGACUCCACAAUUAUAUGCAAAGAAUUUGAUAGAAUUCAUCACACAUAUGUUACUGUAAAAGAAGGAAAAAGAGAGUGGAGGCAGAGGAAAGUCAAAAGGAAACAGAGGAAAAGAAGAUUGAUAUGAUCUGUAAGCUGAGCUGGUGGAUUUAUGUAUAUAUGAUUUACUGAUUCCCUGUGCGUUUUAUGUUUAUGUAUUUUUUUGUAAACAAGCUACACUGAUCUGUUUGUAAACAAGCUCCGAAUUCCAUGUUCUAUUGUCGGAGUUGCUCUGACGGAUGUGAAAGGGCAGGAUUUCACUUCCUUGUUUGAUUAAUCCAAGACUUGCUACUGUCUUCAGUUGCUGUAAAAUUCAGGUUAAUGGUUUCAUAUUUUAGCAGAAUCUGUGGAGUUGGGUUGGGCUGGACUGGUGAUUCCAUGUCAACCUUUGGUACACCAGAUCACAAACAAAGCUUUUCAUAUUUAAUAGGUUCCUGCAGGCGAUUUGGUCUUAGUAGGAGAGUUUCUCACUGUUUAGAAUGGUCACGGAUAUUCUGUUCAAUUUCGUAGAUCUUUUAUAUUCCAUUUGUAAUGUGAAGUUCGGAAUAUCACUAAAAUGUUCAUUUUUCAAAACUAUCACGUACAAGCUUUCGUUUCCAGCUGGUUACAUGCAUUUCACCAGCUUUCAUUUCGAGUUUGGGGCUUCUUUUAUGAUUCAGUUAGUGGACUACCUUUACAAGUGAAGUUAUUUGGA